RNAcentral lists this ribosomal RNA (517 nucleotides) under uncultured bacterium. RNAcentral describes it as "bacterial SSU rRNA". It matches the Rfam family "Bacterial small subunit ribosomal RNA", at positions 992 to 1509 of the family's 1533-position model. The record is from RNAcentral.
AGAACUUAGCAGAGAUGCUUUGGUGCCUUCGGGAACUCUGAGACAGGUGCUGCAUGGCUGUCGUCAGCUCGUGUUGUGAAAUGUUGGGUUAAGUCCCGCAACGAGCGCAACCCUUAUCCUUUGUUGCCAGCGGUCCGGCCGGGAACUCAAAGGAGACUGCCAGUGAUAAACUGGAGGAAGGUGGGGAUGACGUCAAGUCAUCAUGGCCCUUACGAGUAGGGCUACACACGUGCUACAAUGGCGCAUACAAAGAGAAGCGACCUCGCGAGAGCAAGCGGACCUCAUAAAGUGCGUCGUAGUCCGGAUUGGAGUCUGCAACUCGACUCCAUGAAGUCGGAAUCGCUAGUAAUCGUAGAUCAGAAUGCUACGGUGAAUACGUUCCCGGGCCUUGUACACACCGCCCGUCACACCAUGGGAGUGGGUUGCAAAAGAAGUGGGUAGCUUAACCUUCGGGAGGGCGCUUACCACUUUGUGAUUCAUGACUGGGGUGAAGUCGUAACAAGGUAAGCGUAGCGAG